This 127-nucleotide microRNA precursor is filed under the name Myotis brandtii (Brandt's bat). RNAcentral's name for it is "mir-9193 microRNA precursor family". It matches the Rfam family "mir-9193 microRNA precursor family". Lineage: Eukaryota; Metazoa; Chordata; Mammalia; Chiroptera; Vespertilionidae. The record is from Rfam by way of RNAcentral.
CGUGCAGCGGUGGGGUCCCUCGGCCUGGCCUGCACCCUCUCGCAAUCCAGGACCUCUUGGGAGAUCUUGGAGAGCCGAUUUCAGCCCUAUCUCUGCAGGCCAGGCCGAGGGACCCCACCGGUGCACA